GACGAACGCUGGCGGCGUGCUUAACACAUGCAAGUCGAACGAUGAAGCCGGAGCUUGCUCUGGUGAAUUAGUGGCGAACGGGUGAGUAACACGUGAGUAACCUGCCCUUGACUCUGGGAUAACUGCUAGAAAUGGUGGCUAAUACCGGAUACGACCCUCGGCGGCAUCGCCAGGGGGUGGAAAGAAUUUCGGUCAAGGAUGGACUCGCGGCCUAUCAGCUAGUUGGUGAGGUAACGGCUCACCAAGGCGACGACGGGUAGCCGGCCUGAGAGGAUGACCGGCCACACUGGGACUGAGACACGGCCCAGACUCCUACGGGAGGCAGCAGUGGGGAAUAUUGCACAAUGGGCGCAAGCCUGAUGCAGCAACGCCGCGUGAGGGAUGACGGCCUUCGGGUUGUAAACCUCUUUUAGUAGGGAAGAAGCGAAAGUGACGGUACCUGCAGAAAAAGCACCGGCUAACUACGUGCCAGCCGCCGCCGUAA
RNAcentral lists this ribosomal RNA (484 nucleotides) under uncultured bacterium. Its description in RNAcentral is "partial 16S ribosomal RNA". It matches the Rfam family "Bacterial small subunit ribosomal RNA", at positions 28 to 523 of the family's 1533-position model. The record is from RNAcentral.